This is a ribosomal RNA of Leptopilina heterotoma, 119 nucleotides long. NCBI's taxonomy places the organism in Eukaryota, Metazoa, Arthropoda, Insecta, Hymenoptera, Figitidae. The record is from RefSeq and is a predicted model, not a curated record.
ACCAACGCUCAAAUCACGCUGGGUGCACCAGUUCUCGUUUGAUCACUGAAGUUAAGCAGCGUUGAGCGCGGUUAGUACUUGGAUGGGUGACCGCUUGGGAAUACCGCGUAGCGUUGGUU